This 447-nucleotide ribosomal RNA is filed under the name uncultured bacterium. RNAcentral's name for it is "partial 16S ribosomal RNA". It matches the Rfam family "Bacterial small subunit ribosomal RNA", at positions 29 to 523 of the family's 1533-position model. The record is from RNAcentral.
AACGAACGCUGGCGGCAAGCUUAACACAUGCAAGUCGAGCGCCCCGCAAGGGGAGCGGCAGACGGGUGAGUAACGCGUGGGAAUCUACCCAUCCCUACGGAAUAGCUCCGGGAAACUGGAAUUAAUACCGUAUACGCCCUACGGGGGAAAGAUUUAUCGGGGAUGGAUGAGCCCGCGUUGGAUUAGCUAGUUGGUGGGGUAAAGGCCUACCAAGGCGACGAUCCAUAGCUGGUCUGAGAGGAUGAUCAGCCACAUUGGGACUGAGACACGGCCCAAGCUCCUACGGGAGGCAGCAGUGGGGAAUAUUGGACAAUGGGGGCAACCCUGAUCCAGCCAUGCCGCGUGAGUGAUGAAGGCCUUAGGGUUGUAAAGCUCUUUCACCGGGGAAGAUAAUGACGGUACCCGGAGAAGAAGCCCCGGCUAACUUCGUGCCAGCCGCCGCAGUAA